This 2902-nucleotide ribosomal RNA is filed under the name Klebsiella pneumoniae. RNAcentral describes it as "bacterial LSU rRNA". It matches the Rfam family "Bacterial large subunit ribosomal RNA". The record is from RNAcentral. Lineage: Bacteria; Pseudomonadati; Pseudomonadota; Gammaproteobacteria; Enterobacterales; Enterobacteriaceae.
UUAAGCGACUAAGCGUACACGGUGGAUGCCCUGGCAGUCAGAGGCGAUGAAGGACGUGCUAAUCUGCGAAAAGCGUCGGUAAGGUGAUAUGAACCGUUAUAACCGGCGAUGUCCGAAUGGGGAAACCCAGUGCAAUUCGUUGCACUAUCGUUAACUGAAUACAUAGGUUAACGAGGCGAACCGGGGGAACUGAAACAUCUAAGUACCCCGAGGAAAAGAAAUCAACCGAGAUUCCCCCAGUAGCGGCGAGCGAACGGGGAGCAGCCCAGAGUCUGAAUCAGCUUGUGUGUUAGUGGAACGGUCUGGAAAGUCCGACGGUACAGGGUGAUAGUCCCGUACACCAAAAUGCACAGGUUGUGAACUCGAAGAGUAGGGCGGGACACGUGGUAUCCUGUCUGAAUAUGGGGGGACCAUCCUCCAAGGCUAAAUACUCCUGACUGACCGAUAGUGAACCAGUACCGUGAGGGAAAGGCGAAAAGAACCCCGGCGAGGGGAGUGAAAAAGAACCUGAAACCGUGUACGUACAAGCAGUGGGAGCACCUUCGGGUGUGACUGCGUACCUUUUGUAUAAUGGGUCAGCGACUUAUAUUCUGUAGCAAGGUUAACCGUAUAGGGGAGCCGCAGGGAAACCGAGUCUUAACUGGGCGUUAAGUUGCAGGGUAUAGACCCGAAACCCGGUGAUCUAGCCAUGGGCAGGUUGAAGGUUGGGUAACACUAACUGGAGGACCGAACCGACUAAUGUUGAAAAAUUAGCGGAUGACUUGUGGCUGGGGGUGAAAGGCCAAUCAAACCGGGAGAUAGCUGGUUCUCCCCGAAAGCUAUUUAGGUAGCGCCUCGUGAAUUCAUCUUCGGGGGUAGAGCACUGUUUCGGCUAGGGGGUCAUCCCGACUUACCAACCCGAUGCAAACUACGAAUACCGAAGAAUGUUAUCACGGGAGACACACGGCGGGUGCUAACGUCCGUCGUGAAGAGGGAAACAACCCAGACCGCCAGCUAAGGUCCCAAAGUCAUGGUUAAGUGGGAAACGAUGUGGGAAGGCACAGACAGCCAGGAUGUUGGCUUAGAAGCAGCCAUCAUUUAAAGAAAGCGUAAUAGCUCACUGGUCGAGUCGGCCUGCGCGGAAGAUGUAACGGGGCUAAACCAUGCACCGAAGCUGCGGCAGCGACACUAUGUGUUGUUGGGUAGGGGAGCGUUCUGUAAGCCUGCGAAGGUGUGCUGUGAGGCAUGCUGGAGGUAUCAGAAGUGCGAAUGCUGACAUAAGUAACGAUAAAGCGGGUGAAAAGCCCGCUCGCCGGAAGACCAAGGGUUCCUGUCCAACGUUAAUCGGGGCAGGGUGAGUCGACCCCUAAGGCGAGGCCGAAAGGCGUAGUCGAUGGGAAACAGGUUAAUAUUCCUGUACUUGGUGUUACUGCGAAGGGGGGGACGGAGAAGGCUAUGUUAGCCGGGCGACGGUUGUCCCGGUUUAAGCAUGUAGGCUGGUUGUCCAGGCAAAUCCGGAUAAUCAAGGCUGAGGUGUGAUGACGAGGCACUACGGUGCUGAAGUAACAAAUGCCCUGCUUCCAGGAAAAGCCUCUAAGCAUCAGGUAACAUCAAAUCGUACCCCAAACCGACCACAGGUGGUCAGGUAGAGAAUACCAAGGCGCUUGAGAGAACUCGGGUGAAGGAACUAGGCAAAAUGGUGCCGUAACUUCGGGAGAAGGCACGCUGGUGUGUAGGUGAAGCCCCUGCGGGUGGAGCUGAGACCAGUCGAAGAUACCAGCUGGCUGCAACUGUUUAUUAAAAACACAGCACUGUGCAAACACGAAAGUGGACGUAUACGGUGUGACGCCUGCCCGGUGCCGGAAGGUUAAUUGAUGGGGUUAUCCGUAAGGAGAAGCUCUUGAUCGAAGCCCCGGUAAACGGCGGCCGUAACUAUAACGGUCCUAAGGUAGCGAAAUUCCUUGUCGGGUAAGUUCCGACCUGCACGAAUGGCGUAAUGAUGGCCAGGCUGUCUCCACCCGAGACUCAGUGAAAUUGAACUCGCUGUGAAGAUGCAGUGUACCCGCGGCAAGACGGAAAGACCCCGUGAACCUUUACUAUAGCUUGACACUGAACAUUGAGCCUUGAUGUGUAGGAUAGGUGGGAGGCUUUGAAGCGUGGACGCCAGUCUGCGUGGAGCCAACCUUGAAAUACCACCCUUUAAUGUUUGAUGUUCUAACGUUGGCCCCUGACCGGGGUUGCGGACAGUGUCUGGUGGGUAGUUUGACUGGGGCGGUCUCCUCCCAAAGCGUAACGGAGGAGCACGAAGGUUAGCUAAUCCUGGUCGGACAUCAGGAGGUUAGUGCAAUGGCAUAAGCUAGCUUGACUGCGAGCGUGACGGCGCGAGCAGGUGCGAAAGCAGGUCAUAGUGAUCCGGUGGUUCUGAAUGGAAGGGCCAUCGCUCAACGGAUAAAAGGUACUCCGGGGAUAACAGGCUGAUACCGCCCAAGAGUUCAUAUCGACGGCGGUGUUUGGCACCUCGAUGUCGGCUCAUCACAUCCUGGGGCUGAAGUAGGUCCCAAGGGUAUGGCUGUUCGCCAUUUAAAGUGGUACGCGAGCUGGGUUUAGAACGUCGUGAGACAGUUCGGUCCCUAUCUGCCGUGGGCGCUGGAGAAUUGAGGGGGGCUGCUCCUAGUACGAGAGGACCGGAGUGGACGCAUCACUGGUGUUCGGGUUGUCAUGCCAAUGGCACUGCCCGGUAGCUAAAUGCGGAAGAGAUAAGUGCUGAAAGCAUCUAAGCACGAAACUUGCCCCGAGAUGAGUUCUCCCUGAGACUUUAAGUCUCCUGAAGGAACGUUAAAGACGAUGACGUUGAUAGGCCGGGUGUGUAAGCGCAGCGAUGCGUUGAGCUAACCGGUACUAAUGAACCGUGAGGCUUAACCUU